Molecule: long non-coding RNA, 4366 nt
Filed under: Zea mays
Lineage: Eukaryota; Viridiplantae; Streptophyta; Magnoliopsida; Poales; Poaceae
Description: long non-coding RNA (ZMAY_LNC004021)
Source: RNAcentral
CUGGGACUUAGAGAUUCCAGGUACCAGGAUUAUCUUCAGAUAACACGUGUCCUCACUGCUAAACGUAGCAAUACAGACAAACAUGUAUAGGCAAAAUUAACAUCACACCAAACAUAAGAAUAAACUGCGUAAGCAUAUUCUACGUGUUGCUACGAGGUCGUAGGAACAAGAACCACUAAAUUCAGAGCUACGGUUAUUAAGUUAUGAUUUUAUGAAGUUAUUUAAUGCCUAAAAUAGAGCUAUUCAUGUGAAUAAUUUUAAAUCAAGUUUCAUGGUUAGACAAAGGUACUUGGUGAUAAACAAUAUUUAAACAAAAUAAAUGCCACUGGAAUGAAUCAAUUUGGAGUUAUAGAUUUUAAGUUAUGAAUUUCUGAAGGUUUUAUGUGUUUUGUACAAGAUUAAAUAUGAUAUAAAUUUUAAUGUGACUUUCAUGUCAAAACAGAGGUACUAUGUGAUAAACAACAUUAUUACAAAAUUAUAGGAACUGGAAUGGACUAAAAAGAAGUUAGUAUGAAUUUUCUAUGAAUAAAAUGAGUUUUUGGAAUUAUUUACAUACUAAAAAUUAUUUUCUAAUUGAAUUUCUGAAUUUCCCAAUGAUUUUGGACUGCACGCCAAUUCCCAGAGAAGACAGGGGCCACGGUGUAAAAUCUUCCAAGACACAGGGCACAGCACUGGUGGACGGCGGGUUGGUUUAGAUAAAUUUCAGGGACUCUUUAGCAAAGUGACUCGGCAAAGGGGUAUUGGCGAAUCAUGGCUGCUGGAUCAUAAUCGAGGGCCCGGAUUAGAUCACGAGUCGUUACGCGUUGUAACGAUCCCAACUGUUGGAUCAAUGGCGAGCGGCCUGGAUUUAAAUACCCUAAAGUCCAUCCUAUUCGCUGAUGAAUAGAUCUACGGUCACCGCGCCCGAGCUGAAUCGUUCUUUUGACUUCUAAUCUCCACCGUUAAACAAGGAUCGGACGACCCCGAGACCCCCACCAACCUCCCACAGCGGAGCGCGGCGGCGUGCUCCAUGCGCGGUGGCUCCCCGCCGGAGUCGAGUUGACUACGGGUUUGUCGAACCGUUCAACCGAGGGAAACGCGCCAAAAGAAAAUUCACACACUAACAAAUCGAACAAAGGGUUCCAUACCUAGGUUUGACGCGGCGCGAUGCUGCUCCACGCCGAACGACUCCCACGCGGCGGAGACAAGGUCCCGACGAGAAAUUCCAGUCGCUGCCGAGGUCGAAACACCCCCAGCCGGUCACGAGCGCCCCCCAGCAGCGCUGCGAAGUAGCCCAAGGCGGCACGGACCCCCCGGAAAUGGUCACGGACGGGAACGGAGCUGGCGGGUGCUCCCAGCCGCGAUCCGAGCCCGAGCAGUGAGUUCCCACGGCGCGUACGGAUGCGGCAAACAGGCGUCCGACGGCGAGGAUGUCCUGCGAGCGCAUGGCAGACCCACAGUGUCUCCCCCGCGAGCAACGAACCGAGGCCAACCCUCCAUACAUCACGCGCUCGUUGAAGGUCCACACAGGGGCGCUCUUUAUCUCUCUCCACCAUGGCACCCCUUCCUGGUUCUCCUUGUGUUCUCGCUGGGCCGCAGGUUCCAAGUCGACCCCGAAGCGAUGGGGAAACCGGGGGAUGGUUUUUAUAUUCCUAAAGCCGAGCUUCACGAUGGGAUGACGACGAAUCGAGCCCGGAAAUCUCGGUUCCUGGCAUCAGUUAGCGCCAGAUGCGGAGGGGGUUUGAGAGGAUAGGGAUGACCCUGACAGGCUGGGCCCACACGCAAGACACUCAGGCGAGAGGUGCUGAGGACAGCGUCCCAGUACGCGCGCCAUCGCCGUGAGGCCGCCCACAUGACCCCACAAGUCGGUGACAGUGUGUAUGUGUGCGGGAUGUGAAUUGGGCUAGCAGGGUGCUCAUGGGCCGCAUGGAUGUGAGCCAGGUUGGGCUGAGGGGGAGGGAAUUCAGCCCAGAAUCCAGUUUGUCCAUUUUCCCUUUUUUUCUUUUCUAAUUCCUAAUUCAAAUUUAGUUUGCAAUUCACACUCAAGGUUUGAGUUCAACUUUUAAAUGCACAGUGAAAACUCCAGCAUGAGAUUCAAGUUAUAUUUGUAGAGAAUAUUUUAUUCAGUUAUUUAGAAAUAUAUAUUUCAAAUGUGAAGUAAACAUAUUGUUGAGAAAUACUAUUUUUGAUGUAAGUUUAAAGGUUCUCCCAUAAUUCAACAUUUAUUUUUUUUAUUUAUUAAAAUUAAAGGGAUAUGUUUUAUGAAGGAUGAAAAACAUUUAUAGAAGUUAUUUUAUCUCAAAUUAUUCGGACAUUUUUUAUAACUUCACAAAAUAAGAUUUUGGGUAUUACAACAAUGCAUACAAAUAAUGAAAUAAUGGAUACAAAUAACGUUACACCAAACAUGAGGAAAACUACGUAGUAAUAUUCUACAAGACGAGACGAGAUCGUAGGUUCGAGAACCACUAAAAUCAGAGUUAAAAUGUGAAAGAUAUCAAUUUUCUAAGUUUCCUAGGCAUUGUAUAUUAAUUUUACACUUAAAAGAAUUUACUCACCCGUGUUUAAGGACAAAUAUAUAUACAUAUCAAAUGUGUGCUAGGAUCAAGUCUCACACAUAUGAUGUCAUGGUACAUAAAUCAAUGUCACAUCUUUAUUACGUAAUAGGAGUUCUAUAUAGAAUAGCUAAAUAAAAUACAUCAUAUGACGAUAUGAUCCUCCACAAUCAUAGUUGUUUGGGAGACUACGACCUAGAUCUCUCCGAACUCAUCUUCAUGAUCCUUCUCUAGCGGUACCUAUACUUAACCUGGUGUGAUUAUAGCAAGGGUGAGCUCUCAUACGAUCUUCGCUCAUCAAGUGUGGGGAAAACUGUGUAUGUGUUCAUUUAUGGUUGGGGCUCAUGUGGUGUAAGGAUACGAAGCAUAAUGGUUAAGGCUAGCCAUUGCUUUUAAAUAAGUUGAUCAAAAUUUUAUUAGCAAUUACUAAGUAUAAGUAUAUACCAUCCUAAAUAGAUGAGAGAUCAUAAGUAAUAAUAACUCCCACAAUGCAAUGCAUGACAUGUUAAAUUUAGUUCCAUCAUUUAGUCAUGUGAGUGUCCGAGUCGCUCUUGACCGUGAGCACAGAUAUACCAGUUGUACACUCUAUAGAAGUUGCGCAUCUUUAACCACAACACAUGUUUCCCGUUUAGCCAGAGAUUCCAAGGCCCUUAGACGCUUCCAAAUUGAAUGGCUAGGGAUCCACUCCAAGACCUUUAUAAAGUUUCGCUAGCUUGAGAAAACCCGUUAUGGUUUAAGAACCACUAAAUCAGAGUUAAAAAAUGAAAGAUGUGAAUUUUCUAAGUUUUCUAGGCAUUUUAUAUUAAUUUUACACUUAAAAACAUUUACUAAAUGUUUUUAUGUAUUUCCUGGAUUUAUUUUAUUUUUUAAUCAGUAAAAAGGACGGUGUUCACUAUUUCUAAGAGUUCGGGCCCUGUAAAAGUUAUGGGCCUAAAUUAAAUUUCUUUAGCUAAGUUAGGACUGCGGGUUGAUAUAUGACUCUGCUCUAUUCGGCUGUUAUAACUCUGCUCUAUCCCUGGUCAUUGGAUCCAAAGGCAACGACACAGACUAGUCUCCCAUUUCUACGAACCGGUACACUCUCUGAUCUCUCCGAUUCCACAUCUACGACGUACGAUCGUCCACGUCUUGGCUUAACAUCUACUCGCCCGAUCAAACUCUGAUGGUUCAGAUGGAUUCAAGCCGAAUGGGUAAAUUAGAUUUAAUCCAGUCCAUCCAUCCAUCCAUCCACAUCCAACGUCCACGCUCUCAUCCCUCUCCUCUGGUGGUCGAACACGGAGGCGCGCACGAUCACCACGGAGGCGGCAAUUCUGGCAACCGGUGAAACAACGCUCUGGCGAGCAACACCCUUCAACAAACAGGGCUACACUAUGUGGAGGUCGCGAUGAACGAUUGGAAAUAGAUCUCACCGAAUAUGAUGGCGAAGAGGCCCUGGGUCCACGGCGUGGUGAAGCUCCGCGACGGCGCUUGACCUCCGACGAGCACGCUCCUGCUAUAGGGUGUCAUUGCUCAGAUGCAGACGGUGCUACUCGUUAAGGGGACAGUGGAGAGCACGAUGAGGGGAUUCCUACCCAAAGAGGUGCCGGUGGUGACAUGGUCCGUGUCGAACUGCGGCUCCACAACGUCCGACUUGCUCCAGUGAGAAAUUCGGCCGGCCCUUAUGGCUCACACUUCACACCAGUGUCUUGACCAACCUCCUUGCCUCCCAAUCGAAUUCCAUAGCCACCAACCGAGGCCGGAGGGACGGCGUGGUCAAGAUCCGGAGCGCGACGUCUCUCUCCUUGCUCUCUGCUCUCUUCGCUACGUGAUUUCUCAAUGCUCGGCUAUUGACGUUGGCC